This 72-nucleotide transfer RNA is filed under the name Deltaproteobacteria bacterium. Its description in RNAcentral is "tRNA-Glu". It matches the Rfam family "tRNA". From Rfam's summary of the family: Transfer RNA (tRNA) molecules are approximately 80 nucleotides in length. Their secondary structure includes four short double-helical elements and three loops (D, anti-codon, and T loops). Further hydrogen bonds mediate the characteristic L-shaped molecular structure. tRNAs have two regions of fundamental functional importance: the anti-codon, which is responsible for specific mRNA codon recognition, and the 3' end, to which the tRNAs corresponding amino acid is attached (by aminoacyl-tRNA synthetases). tRNAs cope with the degeneracy of the genetic code in two manners: having more than one tRNA (with a specific anti-codon) for a particular amino acid; and 'wobble' base-pairing, i.e. permitting non-standard base-pairing at the 3rd anti-codon position. Lineage: Bacteria; Pseudomonadati; Myxococcota; Myxococcia. The record is from RNAcentral.
CACCCCAUCGUCUAAAGGUUAGGACACCGGGUUUUCAUCCCGGCAAUAGGGGUUCAAUUCCCCUUGGGGUGA